GAUGAACGCUGGCGGCGUGCCUAAUACAUGCAAGUCGAGCGGACAGACGCGGAGCUUGCUCCUCUGACGUUAGCGGCGGACGGGUGAGUAACAUGUGGAUACCCUACCUAUAUGACUGAGAUCACUUCGGGAAACCGGCUCUAAUACCGGAUAAUCUAUUGAACCGCAUGGUUCAAUAGUGAAAUACGGUUUUGCUGUCACUUAUCGAUGGAUCUGCGCGUCUUUAUCUAGUUGGUACUGUAACGGCUUACCAAGGCGACGAUGCGUAGCCGACCUGGGCGGGGGUUGGGCCCCUCAGGAGCUGACACACGGUCCAGGCACCGAGGGGAGGCAGAAGUAGGGAAGGGUGCGCAAUGGGCGAAAGCUUGACGGAGCAACGCCGGGUGAGUGAAGAAAGUCUGCGGAUCGUAAAACUCUGUUAUGGGGGAAGAACAAAUGUGCAAGUAACUAUGCACGUCUGGACGGUACCUAAUCAGAAGGCCACGCUAAAUUACUG
This 496-nucleotide ribosomal RNA is filed under the name uncultured bacterium. Its description in RNAcentral is "partial 16S ribosomal RNA". It matches the Rfam family "Bacterial small subunit ribosomal RNA", at positions 28 to 507 of the family's 1533-position model. The record is from RNAcentral.